UCGCGAAUCCAAGUGAACUCCGAGCUGUUAGUGGAGCCGGAGAAAACUAUUAGAGGCACACUCACUUCGAAAUUUUCAGUCGCUUUUGCCCAUUUUUGUAUGUAUAUGUCCAUCCAUGCGGUGCAUUGAGUGCGACGGGUAUAGUUUCACCACCGAAGGUAUUCCCUGUUACUAUCAUUGUGUAAUCUACUCUUGUAUAUGUUCCAAAAAGGAUUAUGAAGAGGUUUUUCUUCUUGAUUAAGUUCUAUCCACGAUUUGUUUUGUUAUGACCUUUGUCAUUGACUCAUUAAUAUGCAUAUUAUUUAGUUGAUUAAUUUGGUUUUGUUCCAAGUAAAACGCUUUGAUCUAAACAAGCUAUAGAUUAAAUCAAUAUUUUUCUUUCAAACCUUAGUCCCAAAUUAUAGCCGCGAUAAGAGAUGUAAACUUUACCUUUAACUAGAUCGUCUACCACUUAAUAAACUUAAAGAAUUAGUUCAUUUGUCAUAUUUCCUUGUAUUUGUUCAUAUCCAUAGACCACCAACUGAUGCUUGAAGUUAACUUUAUGAUUUUGUAUCCGUUGGUAGAGCAUUACUUAUGGUCAUAAUAUUCAGGUCGCAACUUACGUAAGGGGUAGCAGCGCCGCUUGUUUCUCGUUUACCAUCUAUCUCGAUGUAAAUUCAUAACAUGUGAAAGACAAUAUUCUUCGUUAUAUCAAUAAAGAUCACAAGCGUGCUUUUUAAUGUACAUUUUGUCUAUAUGAUAAAUUGCUAAAAAUGUAAGUUAAUAUACAUGUAUAUCAAUGUGGAGUGUAUUACAUGUAAGAGAACUCAUUGCUCCAUAAAUACUUUGCUGUUGCAUUUAUUUGAAAAUUCUAAUUCAUGAAACCAAAAAUGAAAACAAAGGAAACCAACCCCUAUCCCCAAGAUAUGAACUUUUUUAUGAUGCUUCAUCUUUCUCAGGUCGAUAUAUCGGUGUUGAUUAGCCAAAUGUCAUAAUGGUUGAGAAGCAUGGGUCCAUGAUUGUAUAGAAAGGGUUGAUGUACUAAACACAUUAGUGAUCGACAUAUGAAAUUCGGUAUAAUCAAAAGUUGACGAUU
Molecule: long non-coding RNA, 1075 nt
Filed under: Helianthus annuus (common sunflower)
Lineage: Eukaryota; Viridiplantae; Streptophyta; Magnoliopsida; Asterales; Asteraceae
Description: hypothetical non coding rna
Source: RNAcentral